GGGCAUGUAGUAGAAUGGCUAAUACGCAUCGUUGGCGUCGAUGAGACUUCGGGUUCAACUCCCGACAUGUCCA
RNAcentral lists this transfer RNA (73 nucleotides) under Nanobdellota archaeon. RNAcentral describes it as "tRNA-Ala". It matches the Rfam family "tRNA". From Rfam's summary of the family: Transfer RNA (tRNA) molecules are approximately 80 nucleotides in length. Their secondary structure includes four short double-helical elements and three loops (D, anti-codon, and T loops). The record is from RNAcentral. Lineage: Archaea; Nanobdellati; Nanobdellota. RNAcentral also lists the same sequence under 1 other name.